This 21-nucleotide small nuclear RNA is filed under the name Arabidopsis thaliana (thale cress). RNAcentral describes it as "snRNA_05069". Lineage: Eukaryota; Viridiplantae; Streptophyta; Magnoliopsida; Brassicales; Brassicaceae. The record is from RNAcentral.
GGCAAUUACCAGUUCUUUCCG